RNAcentral lists this ribosomal RNA (239 nucleotides) under uncultured Fusobacterium sp. RNAcentral describes it as "partial 16S ribosomal RNA". It matches the Rfam family "Bacterial small subunit ribosomal RNA", at positions 28 to 278 of the family's 1533-position model. The record is from RNAcentral. Lineage: Bacteria; Fusobacteriati; Fusobacteriota; Fusobacteriia; Fusobacteriales; Fusobacteriaceae.
GAUGAACGCUGACAGAAUGCUUAACACAUGCAAGUCAACUUGAACUUCGGUUUGGGUGGCGGACGGGUGAGUAACGCGUAAAGAACUUGCCUCACAGUUAGGGACAACAUUUGGAAACGAAUGCUAAUACCUGAUAUUAUGAUUUUUGGGCAUCCUACAAUUAUGAAAGCUAUAUGCGCUGCGAGAAAUCUUUGCAUCCCUUUAGCUAUUUGGAAAGGUAACGGGUCCCCAGGGAGAAC